GUUUGAUCACAGCUCAGAUUGAGAGACACUGGCGGGAUGCUUUACACAUGCAAGUCGAACGGCAGCACGGACUUCGGGUCUGGUGGCGAGUGGCGGAACGGGUGAGUAAUGUAUCAUGGAACGUGCCUAGUAGCGGGGGAUAACUACGCACGAAAGCGUAGCUAAUACCACAUCGCCCUUCAGAAGCGGGGGACCUUGGGCCUCCGCACUAUUAAGAGCAGCCGAUAUCGGAUUAGCUAGUUGGCGGGUAGAGGGUAACGGCUCACCAAGGCGACGAUCCGUAGCUGGUUUGAGAGGACGACCAGCCACCGGGACUGAGACACGGCCCGGACUCCUACGACGGCAGUGAAAUUUUUGGACAAUGGGGGAAACCUGAUCCAGCCAUCCCGCGUGUGCAAUGAAGGCUACUUCGGGUUGUAAAGCACUUUUGGCAGGGAAGAAACGGCACGGGAUAAUACCCCGUGCAACUGACAAUACCUGCAGAAUAAGCACCGGCUAACUACGUGCCAUAAAGCCGCGGUAUGCACAUAAGUUAAGCGUUAGAAAUCGGAAUUGGGCAUCAUGAAAAUUUGCAGACAGUUCGGAAAGAAAGAUGUAGAAAUCGGAAGCAACUUUGGAACUGCGGCAUUUUUAACUACCGAGCUAGAGUGUGUCAGAGGGAGGUGGAAUUCCGCGUGUAGCAGUGAAAUGCGUAGAUAUGCGGAGGAACACCGAUGGCGAAGGCAGCCUCCUGGGAUAACACUGGCAUCAUGCACAGCGUGGGAGCAAACAGGAUUAGAUACCCUGGUAGUCCGCUAAACGAUGUCCAACUAGCUGUUGGGGCCUUCGGGCCUUGGUAGCGCAGCUAACGCGUGAAGUUGACCGCCUGGGGAGUACGGUCGCAAGAUUAAAACUCAAGGAAUGACGGGGAUUCCCGCACAAGCGAGUGGAUGAUGUGGAUUAAUUCGAUGCAACACGAAAAACCUUACCUACCCUUGACAUCUCUGGAAUCGAAGAGAUUUGGGAGUGCUCGCAAGAGAACCGGAACACAGGUACUGCAUGGCUGUCGUCAGCUCGUGUCGUGAGAUGUUGGGUUAAGUCCCGCAACGAGCGCAACCCUUGUCAUUAAUUGCUACGAAAGGGCAUGUGAGACUGCCGGUGACAAACCGGAGGAAGGUGAGGAUGACGUCAAGUCCUCAUGGCCCAUAUGGGUAAGGGUUGUCAGGUAGUAGUCGGGACAGAGGGUCGCCAACCCGCGAGAGAGCCAAUCCCAGAAACCCGAUCGUAGUCCAGAUCGCAGUCUGCAACUCGACUGCGUGGCAGAGUCGGAAUCGCUAAUAAUCGCGGAUCAGCAUGUCGCGGUGAAUACGUUCCGGGUCUUGUACACACCGCCCGUCACACCAUGGGAGUGGGUUUUACCAGAAGUAGUUAACCGUAAGAGGCGAUUACCACCGUGCGGAUUCCACUGACUGGUGAAGUCAUCGCCGGUAA
This 1470-nucleotide ribosomal RNA is filed under the name uncultured Bordetella sp. RNAcentral describes it as "partial 16S-23S ribosomal RNA intergenic spacer". It matches the Rfam family "Bacterial small subunit ribosomal RNA". Lineage: Bacteria; Pseudomonadati; Pseudomonadota; Betaproteobacteria; Burkholderiales; Alcaligenaceae. The record is from RNAcentral.